UUUCCAUUAAAAAAGUGUAAAAAGUCAAAAAUGCCUUUUAGCUCCUCCUCCUAUCUCUCGCCUCCAAAGGAUCCAAACUUCAAUCUUAUCUACCACUCACAUAGUAGCUCCAGGAGUCAAACUCAAAAGCAAUGUCAAAGCCGCCGAUUUCAUAGCCAUUGGUCUGUAAAUGACCGGCUAUGGUGCCAGUCCUUCGAAUACGACUGAUUCGACGUUCGCUACUUCAAGGCUAAAGAUUCUGUCGAGAAAUUCACCAUUCUUUAGUUCGAUGUCUGCCCUUUCAAAUGGAAUUCUCACCGAUACUCCUUUCUUGCUCACCUAUCGAUUCUCUUUCUCACCCUACCACUCCCGCAUCUUUUUAGUGUCGGCUGUCUCCAACGAAAAGCUCGCAUUCUUAUUGAGUUUAUUAAAGCUCAAGGAUGGACCGAGAAUCAUAUACUUUUGGAUCACGAAGUAUAGCAGAAAGGUUUGGUGAGAUUAGGAUUUUAGAAUUUUCUGUUUUUUAUAAUUUGUUUUAUUUUUGGUUUUGCUUUGUUUGGGUUCUCGUUUGGAAAGUGGAGGAAACGAAAUUAGAAUUUAA
Molecule: long non-coding RNA, 580 nt
Organism: Jatropha curcas
Lineage: Eukaryota; Viridiplantae; Streptophyta; Magnoliopsida; Malpighiales; Euphorbiaceae
Source: RefSeq, a predicted model, not a curated record